RNAcentral lists this ribosomal RNA (122 nucleotides) under Pteropus vampyrus (large flying fox). Lineage: Eukaryota; Metazoa; Chordata; Mammalia; Chiroptera; Pteropodidae. The record is from RNAcentral.
UCUAUGGGCCAUGCCACUCUGAACGUGCUCGAUCUCGUCUGAUCUCGGAAGCUUAAGCAGGGUUGGGGCUAGUUAGCACUUGGGAUGGGAAUUCCACUUUGGGAAUACAAGUGCUUGUCACC